UCCUAUGACCACAUCACGCCACAUAAGCCCCAAUCUCGUCUCAUCCCGGAAGCUAAACAGAGUUGAACCUGGAUAGUACUUGGAUGGGUGAUCACCAGAGCCUGGCAGCUGUUGUAGGGA
This 120-nucleotide ribosomal RNA is filed under the name Petromyzon marinus (sea lamprey). The record is from RNAcentral. Lineage: Eukaryota; Metazoa; Chordata; Hyperoartia; Petromyzontiformes; Petromyzontidae.